UUCGCAAUGCCCGAAAGGGUGACGAAGCGACGCCGCGUGCGGGAAGAAGGCCUUCGGGUUGCAAACCGCUGUCGGGGGUUAAGAAAUGUAAGGAUGUUAAUAGCAUCUUUGCUUGACUAAGGCUCCGGAGGAAGCCACGGCUAACUCUGUGCCAGCAGCCGCGGUAAUACAGAGGCGGCAAGCGUUGUUCGGAAUUAUUGGGCGUAAAGAGCACGUAGGCGGCUAUGUAAGUCGGUUGUGAAAGCCUUCCGCUCAACGGGAGAACAGCAUCCGAUACUGCAUGGCUUGAGUGCGGGAGGGGAGAGUGGAACUUCUGGUGGAGCGGUGAAAUGCGUAGAUAUCAGAAGGAACGCCGGCGGCGAAAGCGGCUCUCUGGCCCAUAACUGACGCUGAGUGUGCGAAAGCUAGGGGAGCAAACGGGAUUAGAUACCCCGGUAGUCCUAGCCGUAAACGAUGGGCACUAAGUAGAGGGGUUUU
This 477-nucleotide ribosomal RNA is filed under the name uncultured bacterium. RNAcentral's name for it is "bacterial SSU rRNA". It matches the Rfam family "Bacterial small subunit ribosomal RNA", at positions 365 to 832 of the family's 1533-position model. The record is from RNAcentral.